UCAAACUGCCAACCUUCCAAUCAGCAAGCCCAAGAGGCUCAGUGGUUUAGACCACAGCGCCACCCGCUCCCCUGCUGUGGGCUGUGCCAAGCAGGUGUCUGUGCUAAGUUCGGCAUCAAUAUGGCGAGCCCUGGGGAGCUGAGGUGCGCCAGGUUGCCCAAGGAGGGGUGAACCAGCCCAGGUUGGAGAUGGAGCAGGUAAAAACUCCCAUGCCGAUCAGUAGUGGGACUGUGCCUGUGAAUAGCCACUGCAGCCUUACCUGGG
Non-coding RNA from Podarcis lilfordi (Lilford's wall lizard), 264 nucleotides. Lineage: Eukaryota; Metazoa; Chordata; Lepidosauria; Squamata; Lacertidae. The record is from the annotation of a GenBank genome assembly.